CCACUCCUCCAGCCGCGGCUGCUGGCCGUGCAGUGCAGGCCGCACUGCUGCAGGGAGCACGGCUUGGGGGGCCGGGGACGGCUCUCCUAGGCAGGGUGGCAGGGGGUUCCACGGCAGGCCGGGUCCAGCAGGGCUCGCUUGCAGAGAUGCCGGGGCUUGCCCCGAGCGGGGCUGUUCUCCCGUCCACUGGGCAGGCUGGGAGCCCGGAGCCAAGCCCGCGGUCACGCUCCCUCCCGCUGGCGCCCAGCACCAUGGCCGCACGUCCCCCCAAACUUUGCCUCGGGCUGGGCACAGAGGCGCAGCUGGUUCCCAGCCCGCCGCCCGCGCCCUGAGUCCCACGACCCCGCCGCGCCUGGUCCUUUUAUUCAGAGGGCCAUCUCAAAACGUGGCCCCUGCAUCCACUACACUUCUCUCAAUUCCAGUAUGGAACAGUGGAAGUUACAGGCACAUUCCUACUGAAUUCAGGUGUGGACUGAACUGGACCUAUGCUUAAGAUGUACCAGCUGAAAAAUCAGAUAACAACCAGAUCAAUGAAUCAAUAGAUGGUAUUUUCUUCUUGUACCUACUCUGCAUUAAGCAUAAGAGAAACCUGCCUUGCAGUGAGCGGAGUUCACCAAAGGUUGUGAUAAUGAACACACAAAUAUGAAAUACAGAGCACCUAGGAAUUCUCAGAGGUUUUGUUCCAUUUCACCAUUUUUAUUGUUGUGUGUGUGUUGUGAGCAUGUGCAAUUAAAAGAACAUUUACAAUGUUCAUGCACAAGGACAAUUCAUUUCUAAGAAUACAGUAAUCAUGGGUGCACAGGUUAAUCUAAAGAUAACUCACUGCUUUCUUUUGGUUAUAUUCUGGUCAACUUAAAACCCUCUACAAUGGAUGUUAAGGGCCUGAUCCCCAGCUGGUAUAAAUCAGUGUAGCUUCACUGAAUUCAGCAGAGCUAUCCUGAUUUACACCAUUUGAGGACUAAUUGAGGCCCUAAAGUUUUGUGGGUUUUCAUCAAUGAGCUAAAUUGUACUCUCGGUUAUACCAUUGCAGCUGCACUGACUUCAGUGGGGAGACAUCAGCAUAAAUGAAAGCAGAAUUGUCCAAAUUCUAUUCUGCUGGCUAUAUUUUGAUUAUUCCAGUGUAACUCAUAAUAGCUCCUUUGAUGUUGAUGGUACUUCUCUGGAUUUACACCAGUGCAAAUGACAGCAAAAUUAAUUCAGUGUGUUCUCAUCAUUUGCUGUCUGAAGAUCAUAGUAGCUUAUCCUACACUGGACUAUAGUAAGUGACUUCUUGUGCAAUGGAAUUAAUUGCUAAAAGGAUGCUGAAGAGAAGUGUGUUCAGAAAGCUUUCCCCACAAAUGUACUUUAGAAACAUGCGUGAGUGCACAUGUGGGGGAAGGGUAUUUUUAGCGGGGUAGAUAUUUUUGUAUAUAACAAUAUUUAAGGAAUGACCUCAGAGAAAAGUGAAUCUUCUCUAUCAAUUGUCUAAAUAAUGAGCUAGCUAAAUAAUGAUCUUUCCCUUUUGACUGCUAUCACAAACACUGAAAAGAAGAGGGCCAGUCUAUUGCCUUUUGGGCCCUCUACAGAAAAUAUUUUAUUGUAUAGGCCUGGACUUAUACAAUACUGGGACCUAAUGACUGCAUUGGUGAAUUUAAUUACAACUAUCAUUUAGAGUGUUAGACAUGAAAAGCUGUGUGUGUAUAUAUAUAUACACUGCCCCUUCCUAUAUAAGCUACCUUGUUGAUGAAUACCUUGUACUCUUUGUACCUGUCUCUCCUGCGUUUGGAGUUGCAGCAAUUAUAUCUCCAAGAACUGCAGUGCUGAUAUGGCUUCAGGAACGGCAGUGAUAAGGGUGGUAUUCCUCCUCUGGAAAAGGCUGUAUGGGCAGAUUACUGCAAAUCUGAACAUAUAGUGGAGCUGACAGAAAUGUAAGAUAGAUAAGAUGGCUGAGGAGUGGUUGGUCAUUCAAAGGACACUCUGCUGUUGGUUUCCCUCACGUUACUUAGAAUGCUAGUGUUAUACUAUUGGCUAGUAGUGUGGCAUAGCAGCGGCUAGUCUCAUUUCCCUUCUCUGGAAGUGGUUUAAAAAAGAGUUUUCUCCCUUCCAGUUUUUAACCAGUGCAUGAGUCUGCUCCAUGACUGAUAGAGAUUCACAGAUGUAGUGGUGCUGGUGUAGAGAGCAGGAUUUGUGGAACUUGUAGAAGACAUACAAAUUCACUAUGGAGCCCAGUUUCAUGGGGAGUCCCUAGCUGUAAUGUUCAAUGGGCAUUUGGGUUGGGCAGACUGGGAGGAAUAGUGGUGGUGGGACUGGAUGGAGAAGCUGGGACAGGACCAGCAAAUUUGAAGCUAUAUAGAUUACCCAUUACCCCAGGCCUGCAAUAUCAGCUACAGAGCUGUCUGGCGGGAGCAUUCCAACCCCUCUUCCCCCACCCACAGAAAAAAUUUGUACGUGGCCCAGCCACUCAGCUGGUGUGCCAAGUACAGAAUUUGGGUCCAAACACAUUUAAUAGAAGGAUCCAAAUCUUAAAAAAAUCCUAAAACCUUGUAAUCUUAAUGGAUUUACACUAGUUUGCCUGCAACACAGUACAUGUUUUCUCCAUUAAAGAAGAAGAAUUCUUCAUAAGCCUGAGACGAUACCUACUUACUCUGCCCACUGUAGCCUGCUUCUCUGUCAGUGCUUUCCUGCACAAUAUAAUCUCACUAUGGAAAAUGUGAAAGAUACGCAAAACCUGUGGCUAGCCUGAGACACGCAGAAACACUCUGACCUGGAUCUAGGAGUAAUGCUUAGCUCAAGCAGGUGGCUCCAGAUCAUUACAACACCAUGUUUUGAUGCUUCAGUGGCUUUAGUAACAAUAAAAUCCCAUCAGGGUCUAUAUUAAUAGGCA
RNAcentral lists this long non-coding RNA (2863 nucleotides) under Chrysemys picta bellii (western painted turtle). RNAcentral describes it as "lncRNA (ENSCPBG00000005832.1)". Lineage: Eukaryota; Metazoa; Chordata; Testudines; Emydidae. The record is from RNAcentral.